AGGGAAUCUUCCACAAUGGACGAAAGUCUGAUGGAGCAACGCCGCGUGAGUGAAGAAGGUUUUCGGAUCGUAAAGCUCUGUUGUUGGUGAAGAAGGAUAGAGGCAGUAACUGGUCUUUAUUUGACGGUAAUCAACCAGAAAGUCACGGCUAACUACGUGCCAGCAGCCGCGGUAAUACGUAGGUGGCAAGCGUUGUCCGGAUUUAUUGGGCGUAAAGCGAGCGCAGGCGGAAUGAUAAGUCUGAUGUGAAAGCCCACGGCUCAACCGUGGAACUGCAUCGGAAACUGUCAUUCUUGAGUGCAGAAGAGGAGAGUGGAACUCCAUGUGUAGCGGUGGAAUGCGUAGAUAUAUGGAAGAACACCAGUGGCGAAGGCGGCUCUCUGGUCUGCAACUGACGCUGAGGCUCGAAAGCAUGGGUAGCGAACAGGAUUAGAUACCCUGGUAGUCCAUGCCGUAAACGAUGAGCGCUAGGUGUUGGGGACUUUCCGGUCCUCAGUGCCGCAGCAAAUGCAUUAAGCGCUCCGCCUGG
This 529-nucleotide ribosomal RNA is filed under the name uncultured bacterium. Its description in RNAcentral is "partial 16S ribosomal RNA". It matches the Rfam family "Bacterial small subunit ribosomal RNA", at positions 356 to 876 of the family's 1533-position model. The record is from RNAcentral.